UACGAAGGGGGCUAGCGUUGCUCGGAAUUACUGGGCGUAAAGCGCACGUAGGCGGAUUGUUAAGUCGGGGGUGAAAUCCUGGAGCUCAACUCCAGAACUGCCUUCGAUACUGGCGAUCUCGAGUUCGGGAGAGGUGAGUGGAACUGCGAGUGUAGAGGUGAAAUUCGUAGAUAUUCGCAAGAACACCAGUGGCGAAGGCGGCUCACUGGCCCGAUACUGACACUGAUGCGCGACAGCGUGGGGAGCAAACAGG
RNAcentral lists this ribosomal RNA (253 nucleotides) under uncultured bacterium. Its description in RNAcentral is "partial 16S ribosomal RNA". It matches the Rfam family "Bacterial small subunit ribosomal RNA", at positions 524 to 776 of the family's 1533-position model. The record is from RNAcentral.